This 253-nucleotide ribosomal RNA is filed under the name uncultured bacterium. RNAcentral describes it as "partial 16S ribosomal RNA". It matches the Rfam family "Bacterial small subunit ribosomal RNA", at positions 524 to 776 of the family's 1533-position model. The record is from RNAcentral.
UACGUAGGGGGCAAGCGUUGUCCGGAAUCAUUGGGCGUAAAGCGCGUGUAGGCGGCUGGGUAAGUCCGCUCUGAAAGCCCGGGGCUCAACCCCGGGAGGCGGGUGGAUACUGCUCAGCUCGAGACCGGAAGAGGAGUGUGGAAUUCCUGGUGUAGCGGUGAAAUGCGCAGAUAUCAGGAGGAACACCAAUGGCGAAGGCAGCACUCUGGGACGGUACUGACGCUGAGACGCGAAAGCGUGGGGAGCAAACAGG